GGAGGAAAGCAGGGGAUCGAAAGACCUUAUGCUUUUGGAGCGGCCGAUGUCUGAUUAGCUAGUUGGUGAGGUAAAGGCUUACCAAGGCGACGAUCAGUAGUUGGUCUGAGAGGACGACCAGCCACACUGGGACUGAGACACGGCCCAGACUCCUACGGGAGGCAGCAGUGGGGAAUUUUGGACAAUGGGCGCAAGCCUGAUCCAGCAAUGCCGUGUGAGUGAAGAAGGCCUUCGGGUUGUAAAGCUCUUUCAGUCGAGAAGAAAAGGUUGUGAUUAAUACUCACAAUCCAUGACGGUAUCGACAGAAGAAGCACCGGCUAACUACGUGCCAGCAGCCGCGGUAAUACGUAGGGUGCGAGCGUUAAUCGGAAUUACUGGGCGUAAAGGGUGCGCAGGCGGCUUUGUAAGUCAGAUGUGAAAUCCCCGGGCUUAACCUGGGAAUUGCGUUUGAAACUACAAAGCUAGA
This 466-nucleotide ribosomal RNA is filed under the name uncultured ammonia-oxidizing bacterium. RNAcentral's name for it is "bacterial SSU rRNA". It matches the Rfam family "Bacterial small subunit ribosomal RNA", at positions 198 to 645 of the family's 1533-position model. The record is from RNAcentral.